AGCAGCCGCGGUAAUUCCAGCUCCAAUAGCGUAUAUUAAAGUUGUUGCAGUUAAAAAGCUCGUAGUUGAAUUUUUCGGGGUCAGUAGAUUGGUCAUGCCUCCGGUAUGCACUGGUCUUACUGGCUCCUCCUUCCUGAUGAACCGUAAUGCCAUUAAUUUGGUGUUGCGGGGAGACUGGACUGUUACUUUGAAAAAUUGAGUGUUUAAAGCAGGCUAACGCUUGAAUACAUUAGCAUGGAAUAAUGAAAUAGGACGUUCGAUCUUAUUUGUUGGUUUCUAAGAUUGACGUAAUGAUUAAUAGGG
This 303-nucleotide ribosomal RNA is filed under the name uncultured Glomus. RNAcentral's name for it is "SSU rRNA". It matches the Rfam family "Eukaryotic small subunit ribosomal RNA", at positions 569 to 877 of the family's 1831-position model. Lineage: Eukaryota; Fungi; Glomeromycota; Glomeromycetes; Glomerales; Glomeraceae. The record is from RNAcentral.